GGCGUCCGCUAGGGCGCGCUGCGAGACCGGGAAUGCCCGCCCGGCGCCCCGCCGCCCCGGCCGCGCGCACACGCCGUGCCCUCGCCCCCCUCGAAAUCAUAUUUACAGUUCUUUUUUUUCCCCCCUCUCCUGUGACAUUUUCUCCAAAUCGGAAAAUGAAGUGUAAGUCGAGCUUUGCCGCAGGCGGCCCUCGGUCUCCGCUUUCCGGCUCGGGGUCCCGGAGUGAGAUGCGCUGCCCCCGGCAGUGCGAACCCCGGGGGACGGAGUGGGGCCCCCAGCCCAGCACCCCGGGCCCGGCCGCUCCGCCAGCGGAGACCGCGGAGUCCGGCUCUGCGCCGCGCGCGGGUGCGCUCCGGACGCGGCGAGUCGCAGGCCUCGCCGCGGGUUCAAGUGCAUCCCCGCGGCUGGAGCCCGCGGCUCUGAGAGCGAGUUCUGCCCUGCUCAGCCCCCUCUGGGAGUUCUGUGCGCCCGCGGCUCCCGGGCCCCUCUCCCCGACCCCGCAGCGCGCUGGGCCGCCGGCUGGGGGCAGGCACCCGGCUCGCGCUCCUCCUGGCCCGGGCCGGGCCCCCGGCGCGGCGCUGCCCCCGGGCCGAGCAGGAGGCUCCGCCUGGAAAAGAAGUCAGACUUCCUCUCCACGCUGCUCCGACUGGAAUCUGGAAUCGGCAGGAAAUUGCUCCAACACCCGGGCCGCGCCUUUGCAGUCAGCCCUCGCUUUGCUGAAGAGAAGCAGCUCCCACCAAAGUCUUGCCUCCCCCUCCCCCCGAAAGCCCCGCGCAGAUCGCAGUUCACCUGUCCUUCAGAAAAAAUAUUUUCAUAACUAUUAAAAACAGCAUCACGACUAGUAUUUUUAACUGUCUUCAGGUAGAUAUAUGAUUGCUGUCAGAGCCUACAAGAAAAGCCUGGAGCCAUGCACUCACCCGGGCGAAGCCAUAAAGAGCUUAUGCUAGAAAGGAUGCCCACCAGACUUUUCCUUCUAAGUGUUCCAUUAUCAUCUGAAGAUUAAUUGUUCAGAAAAAGAGAAUUCACUCAAUAUUCUCCUUGUGGAUAACUGUCCACUGAACUUGUUUUUCCCUUCCAUACGGUGGAAAUGCAGCUACCCAUCUGGGACAGUGCUUCCAGUCUCCUGUGCAUCUAGCUGGGGUCAUGUGACGAGUUUUCACCACUGGAAAACGAGCAGAAGGAGCAUUUCUAAGAAGUGAAUGUGCCAUCUCCACUAUCUCUGAGGGCAGGAAAUGAUUCUGAAGACAUAGGGCAAGGCCAAGCCUCAAGUUAGAAACCUGAAUCCUUCAUCCCACAGCUUUCAAGCUCAACAUGCCCAUCCCUCCCCAGACCCAUUAAGUGGCAAAGAAGGGAAAUAUUUCUACUUUCUUCAUGGUCUUCGAAAGGAUGGACACACAGCCCUGAGGGAAAUCGCUGGCCAGAGGAAAGCAGUCCCCUAGAGAUAGCAAUCCAAAUAUCAUCAUAGAGCUGGGCCACAGCCAGCAUCUCCAUCAGCAACUUUGAAGAGUUGUCUGUCUUCCCAGCACAAUAAAACUGGAGACAUGAGCAUCCAGAGCUCCAGCCAGCACAAUUACAUGAAGCCAAAGCGCAUUAUCACUUCUAGGUUGCAGGAUUUAUGACCAGCUCCGAUGGAAAAUAAAGACAGAGAUACUCUACUUGUCUGAAUUCAUCACUCACAAAAGGCAGUAUGUUUUAAUCAUAGAGAAGUUGUCUAUAUUGUACUUUUUCUAACAAAAACCUUCACAAGCAGAGCAGAAACGGAUACCAGCAUCUUAAAGAAAAAAAGAAAAAUGCAAAAGAUUGCCAGUUUGAUUCUGUUCAGAAAAUAUGCCCUUGAUAUCCUUUAUUGUUGAAAAGCUCCUUUCAAAUGCAUUGAGGCAAGUGCUUCUAUUUUGGAGUUUCCCUGGGUUUGGGAAACUGCUUCUAACCUGAGUGGAACAGAGGGGUAGGUUUGUAGGUCUGUAUGGUGUAUCAGUGUCAGCUGAUCCAGGGACUAAGUAAUGAGGCUAAAAUCAUUCUACUUCUAGGAUGCCUGUGACUUCCAUUUGCCAUGAGAGUGUUAAUUCCUGUGGCAGUACGCCUGCCAUGAGCUCCCCCAGAGCCAUGCUCUUCACCAGCACAGCAUUCUCAGGCAUUACUACAGAUGCUCAUUAAUCAUCUCUACUCUAGGAGGUACGCCCUGUGAGCUCAGACUCUUGGUGUUCCUGGCUCAGUGCUAGGACAUGGUGAAUGCAGAAAAUAUUGAAGAGCUCUGAUUAGGUUGUGAUUUUAAGUAAUUAAAAUUCUUGGGCUGGCCCUGUGGCAUAGUGGUUAAGUUCAGCAUGCUCCACUUCAGCAGCCUGGGUUCAGUUCCAGGGUGUGGACUCAAACCACUCAUUGGUGGCCGUGCUGUGGUGGCGACCCACAUACAAAAUAGAAGAAGAUUGGCACAGAUGAUAGCUCUGGGAGAAUCUUCCUCAAGCAAAAAGAGGAAGAUUGGCAACAGGUAAUAGCUCAGGACCAAUCUUCCUCAGCAGAAAAAAAUUAUUUACAAGGACCAUUUGUUUUCACUGUUAGUUCCCUCAUAGACAAAGAAAGGGUAAACCAGUGUGGUUUUUGUCUAAUGUUUUCAAAUUUUGAAUUAUUUAAAUACAUGUUGGUGAAAUUGCUAUUUAACUGUUUAUCAGAACCAAAAUUACAGCCUCAAACCUUCCACAAAAUGGAAAAGACUGUUUGGAAAAGGAAGGAAGGUGCCACAUAAUCCUUUAAACACAAGAUUCAGCCCUUACUUCUACUGAUGCUUGGAAUAGCUCCCAAAACCCUAAAAGUGGGUUUGUUUCCGGAACACCUGGACCAGAGACCACAUUUUUAUGAGGUUUGCCUUUCACAGUGAAGUUUACAUCAGGGAGCUAUAUUUUCCCUAUAUUUACUUUUAAGUCAUUUGGGUUUUCUAAUAAAAUAACAAUUCUCAUUUUCUUCCUUCUUCCCAGAUGAACACAUUUAUUGUUUUAAUCUGUGAAAGGUUCUACAUGGGGCUGUGGUUGAUGAUUGGGACGCUCUGGAAUGGUGCAUUAGGAAAAGAAUAUUAUUUACAUUUAGGAAAAUACUCAGUUGGCUGAAUGUCUAGCCACUAAAAUAAUAACAGUUCGUCAAAACAUAGUUAUCCCAAAUAUCCUUUCAAGAGCGGCGAUCAGAUUUCCUGAAGAGUCCAAGAUGAGGAUGAGAAUUGUGAGGAGGCGAGACCAGAGGGACAAACCAGGUUUGGAAACAGGAAGUAGGUCAAGGAAUUGAGGGUUUGAAAUAUAGGAAAAGAAAGAACUCAUGGAAUUCUCCUCCGUAGACGUCUAGUCUGAACGUAAUCCAGGCUGGUGGGAGGUAAAAUCACUAUCUGAUAUUCUGUGGCCACCUCAAAAAUGUGUUGGUAGUUUCAACCAGACUGGAGUCCACAUUGAAAAACCAUCAGCCCCACUGCCUCAGGCUGCACAGCACAGCUACAGGCCCAAAUCUGCCCAGAGGGACCCAGUGCCACUUAUGGUCAGGAUGGGGGUUGGUGGGGAGAAGAGCAGCAUGUGUACUCAAGCUGGUCGCUAAGGGGGACAGUGGGGGUGUCCAGUCCAGGGCGAUGCAUUCAGCUCCGCUCUGGAGCAGUAAACAGAGAAGUGACAAGAGGCUGGGCUCCCUUGUUGUUGUUGUUGUUAGUGCCUUUGAGUUGAUUCUGACUCUGUGAAGCAGAGCAGAACCCUGCUUUUUGCCCCAUCCUCUCACCUUUUGGUGCUGUAUCAGACGAUGCUCUGCUGUUAAUCAUAGGAGUUUCAUGGCCAGUGUUUUUGUAAGUGGGUGGCCAGGUCCUUCUUCCUAGGCUGUCUUAGUCUGGAAGCUCUGCUGAAACCUGUCCACCCUGGGUGACCCUGCUGGGACUUGAAUUUCUAGUGGCAUAGCCUUCAGCAUCAUAGCAACACGCAGACACCACAGGAUGACAACCAAGAGAUGGCAGUGUGGUUCCCUGACCAGGAAAGGAACUCGAGUCCUGGUGGUGAGAGUUCCGAAUCUUAACCACUUGGCCACCAGGGCUGGCUAAGCUCUUUUGUUAGGAACUCUUAAUCUUGUAAGGUGACCAUAGAUUGGUAGAUUUAUUUUUUUAUUCAAAUAAUAACUUGGAGUAUAUAUAUAAUAAAUAUGUAUGUGUAUAUGUACAUGCUUGAUUAGUAUUUAUAUAAAAGUGAAUGUAUUAAAACAUUCUAAACUUACAUUGUGGUGAUGGUUGCGCAUCUCUGUGAAUACACUAAAACCCAUUAAGUUGUACACUUUAAAUGGAUAAGUUUUAUGAUAUGUGAUUAUAUCUCACUAAAGAUGUUUUCAUCCCUUUAUUUUUCUAAAAAUAAAAAUUGUAGACUGG
RNAcentral lists this long non-coding RNA (4375 nucleotides) under Equus caballus (horse). RNAcentral describes it as "lncRNA (ENSECAG00000033816.3)". Lineage: Eukaryota; Metazoa; Chordata; Mammalia; Perissodactyla; Equidae. The record is from RNAcentral.